Diceros bicornis minor is the source of this 441-nucleotide long non-coding RNA. RefSeq lists it as uncharacterized. The record is from RefSeq and is a predicted model, not a curated record. The transcript is spliced from 3 exons. NCBI's taxonomy places the organism in Eukaryota, Metazoa, Chordata, Mammalia, Perissodactyla, Rhinocerotidae.
AGCACCCUAGAUGACCCUCUAGGCUCCACGCGGCUCUAAGAGUUUCUGAGGCUCUGCAAUAUUUCUGGAGGACAAGUGGUAUAAGCAUUUUAUCAGCAUUGGAAUAAAAAAGCUAUGGGUGGUGUUCUGGAUACUUCAUGCAUCAUGUCUUCCAUUGUCUUUAGACUGAACGGAAGCCCAGUGUUUGGUGAGAAGACGAAGGUUGGCUAGAUCCGAGCUUCUGCAAGGGAAUGACCUGGAGUGAGACUCAACCUGACGGUGGGAACUGGGCUUCGAUUCCAUGUGACAUGACUCAUUAAAUGGUUUAUUGUGAUCUGUAUGUGUGCUUUUAUGACCAGAGAGAUAGAGAAACUCUCUGCUUUGUGGGCUCAAAAAUAAAAAUUGAAGAGAUAAAGUCUUUGCAUGUCUGUGACACUGUAUAUCUCAAUGUGAAGUGUCCUU